CAUACAUAAGUACCUACAUAAACAAUCAAUAUAAUAAAUAAAACAAAAAAGGGCUAAAAUAGAAAGAAAACAAACAUGAGGGGGUAGUAUGCGUCACAACCACGCAAUACGGCCCUCGCUCAGCAUGAUGCUGCGACCCCGUGCGAGACAAAGUCCCAGCGCUGAUUUUCAGCGACAGCCGAAACUAACGUUAUGGCGUCCAACGGGUGAUUAUGCGAAUAUGUGUUAAAUAAAUUGUGUUUAAAUAUAUAUUAAAUAAAUAGUGUUUCUUUGAAGAAUAUAAUAGAAUAUAAUUAGUUUACUCCAUAUGAUCAAAAUACAUGUGGUCGCGCCAUUAAUUAUCUAUGCCUGUAAACCAUAGAGGUCAGUGCUGUAACUUAAACAUCUGUCAAAAACUAUUUCAGCUACUGAAAAUAAAAAUGUAUUUUUAAUGGCGACCGACGCUUUCGUACUUUAUUAUAAGAGGGUACAUAAAAAUAUAUGAGGACAUAACAAAGAACACAGAUGAAGGAUAUUUGGAGCAAUAUGAGCCGACACAGCCCCUCCUCCAAGAUUGCUCAACGAUCAGGAGCCACGCUUCUGCUACAAGUGUGCCUCCAAUGCAUCCCACGCCUCAGGAAAUCCCUACACCAGCGCAUGUACGCCAUGACCCCGUAGGCGUCGCAAUGGUGGAGGGAUAUCAUUCCAACAGCGUGUGGCUGCAAACUUGAAACAACCUCGGAAUGCUAUGGUACGAUGCAUUGGUACCACCAGAGGGCAUACCACGGACCGGAGACCAUGAUCUGAACGGAUGGGUUUCCAGGUCAACUUGCUAUAUAGAUCCAAUAAUCGCAGCAAUGUCCUCGUCGGUGCGGAUUCUUUGGGUGGAGUCACCCGGGCCCUUCCUAGCCAGUAUGCGACCUCGCUUCGUCCAAACAAACCUCCAGCUGAAGAGGCUAGCAGCGUCUCGCGCCUUCCGAAACAAC
Molecule: long non-coding RNA, 965 nt
Filed under: Helicoverpa zea (corn earworm)
Lineage: Eukaryota; Metazoa; Arthropoda; Insecta; Lepidoptera; Noctuidae
Description: uncharacterized LOC124646297, transcript variant X1
Source: RNAcentral